Molecule: ribosomal RNA, 253 nt
Filed under: uncultured bacterium
Lineage: Bacteria
Description: partial 16S ribosomal RNA
Rfam family: Bacterial small subunit ribosomal RNA
Source: RNAcentral
UACGUAGGUGGCAAGCGUUAUCCGGAUUUAUUGGGCGUAAAGGGAACGCAGGCGGUCUUUUAAGUCUGAUGUGAAAGCCUUCGGCUUAACCGGAGUAGUGCAUUGGAAACUGGGAGACUUGAGUGCAGAAGAGGAGAGUGGAACUCCAUGUGUAGCGGUGAAGUGCGUAGAUAUAUGGAAGAACACCAGUGGCGAAAGCGGCUCUCUGGUCUGUAACUGACGCUGUGGUUCGAAAGCGUGGGUAGCAAACAGG